This 460-nucleotide ribosomal RNA is filed under the name uncultured bacterium. RNAcentral describes it as "partial 16S ribosomal RNA". It matches the Rfam family "Bacterial small subunit ribosomal RNA", at positions 338 to 795 of the family's 1533-position model. The record is from RNAcentral.
CCUACGGGUGGCAGCAGUGAGGAAUAUUGGUCAAUGGGCGUAAGCCUGAACCAGCCAAGUCGCGUGAGGGAUGAAGGCUCUAUGGAUCGUAAACCUCUUUUAUAAGGGAAUAAAGUGUGGGACGUGUCCCUUUUUGUAUGUACCUUAUGAAUAAGGAUCGGCUAACUCCGUGCCAGCAGCCGCGGUAAUACGGAGGAUCCGAGCGUUUUCCGGAUUUAUUUGGUUUAAAGGGUGCGUAGGCGGGGCUUUAAGUCAGGGGGGAAAGUGUGUGGCCUAACCAUAGCAUUGCCGUUGAAACUGGGGGCCUUGAGUAGGUUAGAGGAAGGCGGAAUGCGUGGUGUAGCGGUGAAAUGCUUAGAUAUCACGCAGAACCCCGAUUGCGAAGGCAGCCUGCCAAGCCACGACUGACGCUGAUGCACGAAAGCGUGGGGAUCAAACAGGAUUAGAUACCCGAGUAGUC